Molecule: ribosomal RNA, 401 nt
Filed under: uncultured bacterium
Lineage: Bacteria
Description: bacterial SSU rRNA
Rfam family: Bacterial small subunit ribosomal RNA
Source: RNAcentral
GGGGAAUAUUGGACAAUGGGCGAAAGCCUGAUCCAGCCAUGCCGCGUGAGUGAUGAGGGCCCUAGGGUUGUAAAGCUCUUUUGUGCGGGAAGAUAAUGACGGUACCGCAAGAAUAAGCCCCGGCUAACUUCGUGCCAGCAGCCGCGGUAAUACGAAGGGGGCUAGCGUUGCUCGGAAUCACUGGGCGUAAAGGGUGCGUAGGCGGGUUUCUAAGUCAGAGGUGAAAGCCUGGAGCUCAACUCCAGAACUGCCUUUGAUACUGGAAGUCUUGAGUUCGUGAGAGGUGAGUGGAACUGCGAGUGGAGAGGUGAAAUUCGUAGAUAUUCGCAAGAACACCAGUGGCGAAGGCGGCUCACUGGCCAGAUACUGACGCUGAGGCACAAAAGCGUGGGGAGCAAACA